Molecule: ribosomal RNA, 372 nt
Filed under: uncultured bacterium
Lineage: Bacteria
Description: bacterial SSU rRNA
Rfam family: Bacterial small subunit ribosomal RNA
Source: RNAcentral
GACGAACGCUGGCGGCGUGCUUAACACAUGCAAGUCGAACGCUGAAGCCCGCUUGCGGGUGGAUGAGUGGCGAACGGGUGAGUAACACGUGAGUAACCUGCCCUUCACUUUGGGAUAACCUUCGGAAACGGGGGCUAAUACUGGAUAUGACUCAUGGCCGCAUGGUUGUGGGUGGAAAGAUUCUUUGGUGGGGGAUGGGCUCGCGGCCUAUCAGCUUGUUGGUGGGGUGAUGGCCUACCAAGGCGACGACGGGUAGCCGGCCUGAGAGGGCGACCGGCCACACUGGGACUGAGACACGGCCCAGACUCCUACGGGAGGCAGCAGUGGGGAAUAUUGCACAAUGGGCGCAAGCCUGAUGCAGCGACGCCGCGU